GGGGAUGGGGUGAAUUAGACAACUUAAAAGCUAAACAUAUGGCUUCCACUAGCUGCAUCAAAACAUAAACUAGAUCAUGCUAUCUCGAUGUGCAAUCUACGGUUGAUCUAGUGUGAAACCCUCAUCCCAAAAUAAGUUUUGCAACCUAUAUCAGGUCCUAUCAAUAUACUACUCUAGGAAAGUAAAAGCACACAAGUUGCAAGUAUGAAAUGCGAAAAUGUAAGGAAGGGAUGAGGGAAAGCAAACUCUUGACACAAGAAUUUAUCCCGUGGUAUCGGUAGGCGCAAAGCCACCACUAGUCCACGUUGUUGAAGCACUCCCAUAAGAGUAUUGCUUCCCGGUCACCAAGUCUCUCCCAAGGUGCCCCUUGACUUGCCACAAAGGCUUAGCCACUAAGGCUCACGUCAAGUCCCUCGGUCACCUUGAUGCCAUCUUCAC
This 438-nucleotide long non-coding RNA is filed under the name Setaria viridis. RNAcentral describes it as "long non-coding RNA (SVIR_LNC009622)". Lineage: Eukaryota; Viridiplantae; Streptophyta; Magnoliopsida; Poales; Poaceae. The record is from RNAcentral.